This 239-nucleotide ribosomal RNA is filed under the name uncultured Lactobacillus sp. RNAcentral describes it as "partial 16S ribosomal RNA". It matches the Rfam family "Bacterial small subunit ribosomal RNA", at positions 125 to 355 of the family's 1533-position model. The record is from RNAcentral. Lineage: Bacteria; Bacillati; Bacillota; Bacilli; Lactobacillales; Lactobacillaceae.
CCGUAGCCCAAGAGAUCGGGAUAACACCUGGAAACAGAUGCUAAUACCGGAUAACAACAGAUGAUGCCUAUCAACUGUUUAAAAGAUGGUUCUGCUAUCACUCUUGGAUGGACCUGCGGUGCAUUAGCUAGUUGGUAGGGUAACGGCCUACCAAGGCGAUGAUGCAUAGCCGAGUUGAGAUACUGAUCGGCCACAUUGGGACUGAGACACGGCCCAAACUCCUACGGGAGGCAGCAGCU